CGGAGGGUGCAAGCGUUAAUCGGAAUUACUGGGCGUAAAGCGCACGCAGGCGGUCUGUCAAGUCGGAUGUGAAAUCCCCGGGCUCAACCUGGGAACUGCAUUCGAAACUGGCAGGCUUGAGUCUUGUAGAGGGGGGUAGAAUUCCAGGUGUAGCGGUGAAAUGCGUAGAGAUCUGGAGGAAUACCGGUGGCGAAGGCGGCCCCCUGGACAAAGACUGACGCUCAGGUGCGAAAGCGUGGGGAGCAAACAGGAUUAGAUACCCUGGUAGUCCACGCCGUAAACGAUGUCUACUUGGAGGUUGUGCCCUUGAGGCGUGGCUUCCGGAGCUAACGCGUUAAGUAGACCGCCUGGGGAGUACGGCCGCAAGGUUAAAACUCAAAUGAAUUGACGGGGGCCCGCACAAGCGGUGGAGCAUGUGGUUUAAUUCGAUGCAACGCGAAGAACCUUAC
RNAcentral lists this ribosomal RNA (449 nucleotides) under Salmonella enterica. RNAcentral describes it as "bacterial SSU rRNA". It matches the Rfam family "Bacterial small subunit ribosomal RNA", at positions 526 to 974 of the family's 1533-position model. RNAcentral also lists the same sequence under 1 other name. Lineage: Bacteria; Pseudomonadati; Pseudomonadota; Gammaproteobacteria; Enterobacterales; Enterobacteriaceae. The record is from RNAcentral.